CUACGUGCCAGCAGCCGCGGUAAUACGUAGGUGGCAAGCGUUGUCCGGAUUUAUUGGGCGUAAAGCGAGCGCAGGCGGUUUGAUAAGUCUGAAGUUAAAGGCUGUGGCUCAACCAUAGUUCGCUUUGGAAACUGUCAAACUUGAGUGCAGAAGGGGAGAGUGGAAUUCCAUGUGUAGCGGUGAAAUGCGUAGAUAUAUGGAGGAACACCGGUGGCGAAAGCGGCUCUCUGGUCUGUAACUGACGCUGAGGCUCGAAAGCGUGGGGAGCGAACAGGAUUAGAUACCCUGGUAGUCCACGCCGUAAACGAUGAGUGCUAGGUGUUGGAUCCUUUCCGGGAUUCAGUGCCGCAGCUAACGCAUUAAGCACUCCGCCUGGGGAGUACGACCGCAAGGUUGAAACUCAAAGGAAUUGACGGGGGCCCGCACAAGCGGUGGAGCAUGUGGUUUAAUUCGAAGCAACGCGAAGAACCUUACCAGGUCUUGACAUCCCGAUGCUAUUUCUAGAGAUAGAAAGUUA
RNAcentral lists this ribosomal RNA (517 nucleotides) under uncultured bacterium. RNAcentral's name for it is "bacterial SSU rRNA". It matches the Rfam family "Bacterial small subunit ribosomal RNA", at positions 501 to 1016 of the family's 1533-position model. The record is from RNAcentral.